This 497-nucleotide ribosomal RNA is filed under the name uncultured bacterium. Its description in RNAcentral is "partial 16S ribosomal RNA". It matches the Rfam family "Bacterial small subunit ribosomal RNA", at positions 28 to 507 of the family's 1533-position model. The record is from RNAcentral.
GACGAACGCUGGCGGCGUGCCUAAUACAUGCAAGUAGAACGCUGAAGAGAGGAGCUUGCUCUUCUUGGAUGAGUUGCGAACGGGUGAGUAACGCGUAGGUAACCUGCCUUGUAGCGGGGGAUAACUAUUGGAAACGAUAGCUAAUACCGCAUAACAAUGGUUGACACAUGUCAUUUAUUUGAAAGGGGCAAUUGCUCCACUACAAGAUGGACCUGCGUUGUAUUAGCUAGUAGGUGAGGUAAUGGCUCACCUAGGCGACGAUACAUAGCCGACCUGAGAGGGUGAUCGGCCACACUGGGACUGAGACACGGCCCAGACUCCUACGGGAGGCAGCAGUAGGGAAUCUUCGGCAAUGGGGGCAACCCUGACCGAGCAACGCCGCGUGAGUGAAGAAGGGUUUCGGAUCGUAAAGCUCUGUUGUAAGUCAAGAACGGGUGUGAGAGUGGAAAGUUCACACUGUGACGGUAGCUUACCAGAAAGGGACGGCUAACUACGUG